Molecule: long non-coding RNA, 2318 nt
Organism: Erigeron canadensis
Lineage: Eukaryota; Viridiplantae; Streptophyta; Magnoliopsida; Asterales; Asteraceae
Exons: 3
Source: RefSeq, a predicted model, not a curated record
UAAAAUCCAUAAAACUAUUUUCCCCCUUUCUGAUUAACCAUUACCAUCACAAACACCCGACCCUUCCUUCUAUCACUAACGCUGCACCACCGCCUUCCAUCUCCAUUACCGCCCUCCAUCACCGCCUCCUUCAAUCUCCAUCGCCGCUGUUCCAUCGUCAUCUGCAUCUCCACCACCAUUCAUAACCGAUCAGAGAUUUGGAGUUGUCAUCACCGGCUACCAACACCAAUAAUAGUCGAUCUUGAUUUGAAGGUUGUGAACGAAACCUACAGUGUGUUCUUGAAUUAAUGUGAUCAUGGUCAUUUUUUAGUUUCUAGCCUGCAUUUGACGUGUACUUGAUAAUGGUGGUGCAAAGUUGCGGCACCAUAAGGAUAAGUCAGCACAAUUAUCUUGGGUGUGAGCUCAAAGAUGGGCGAUGAAGCAACCCUUCUCUUGCAAGAAGUGGAGGAGCAGCUAAUUACAACUCAGUAGCCAUAAAUUUAGCCCGAUGACAAACACGUAACCAUACAUUGUCCUACUUAUACAUGUUACGAGAUUAGUUACCCUCACAAGGUAUGCGACAAUCUUUGAUGUAUUUAUAUUAUAUUUAGCGUUUCAAUCUUUUUUUCUUAUGUGUUUCUAUUUUGCGUUGGAUUCAUAUUUGUUAGUGUUUGAAAAAGGCUAAUGUUCAUGCUUUAGUGUCUUUUGUGAAAAAUUGAGAUCCAUACAAGUUCAAAUUGCAUUCAUUUUAGCCAAUUUUUUGGCAACUUUUGUGCUAUAUUUAAGAACACUAAGGCCAACAUUUUUUAUGGGCAUAGAAGUUUAUUCAAGAAGUUCUACAUAACUCUAAUCUGAGCUAGCAUCAAUUGUUUUUAUAUCUCAUCUUUUUUAAGGAAUUUGCUCUCCUAAGUCCUAAUUGCAAACAACUACAAUCUAUAAAUCUGGUACUUUUAUAUGGUGUACAAUAAUGGAUAUGUGUUCUGAUUUUUGUAAAGGGCUGAUUUUGAAGCUUAAUGAUCAGCAUACAAUAUAGUUACAGACGAUUAUGUCCAUUCCGUUUCAAAGUAAGUAUACUUGUAUAUGGGUCCAGAGUCCCAUGCAAACAUCUUGAGGUGUAUAGUUACAUACCACGAGCAAAAAAUUUGGUUAAUGCUGCUCUGGCUGUCAUUAUUAACAGAUUAAUAAGGUGUAUAGCUUUUUUGAUUAAAUAAAUAUGUUGGAUAAUUGGAUCAAUGAAAAUUUUGACAUUAACUACUGUUCAAGUGAUCUGGUGUAUGCAUCUUUCUUUCACUUUAUAGAUUUCUAACGUUAAACAACGUUAAACGUUAAACAUAAUUUGAUUCAUUUGCUGUUACAGUGUUACUGUAAGAUAUAUUUGUUUCUGUUUUGCUACUUGAUGAGUUAAUGCAGAUUGAGAUCUUAUUAAUGGUUCUUGCAGUUGCCUCAGGUUGAAUUUGGGACGAGACGAGUAACAUUUCUAUCAACUUUAAUAUAAAAAUAGUUUACUUUUAUAAGGACUAACCUGUAAAUCACCAGUGCUGCAAACCCUUCUCAUAUGGCAAGCAGAGAAGUGAUGAUCAUUUUAGUUCAAAACUUUAUGCUCAAAUUUGAGGACUCCAAUCAAGCUAUCGAAUUUUGUUUGAAAAAGGAGCCAUUUGGCCUUCUAUCAAAAGAUCCAUGACUACAACUCCUUUGCAUCAUCUUCAUUGCAUUCUUAUUUCCAUCACAGCAAUGAGGCAAGAAAGAAUUAUUGUCGAUAUAUUAUUAUAAAACAGUAGUUGACUUUCUUCUGCUUUGACCUCAGGAGGGGACAAACCUAUGGAAUUUAGUGGAUUGUCCAUUUGGUAUAAGGAUAGAUUUUCAAGCUGAUGGCUUGGCGGCGAGGUUGAUAGAAGGGUAGUCGAGAUGGUGCAGGUAAUCUGACCAAGUUCAUCAAAUGGCGCGUGGAGAUUUUAUGUGCUCAAAGUAAAUGAUGAUAAAGGGUUUAAAUCGUAACUAUUCCUUGAAAUGCUUUGAGGAUGUCUAUGGAGUUGGUGUCGCUCGAUGGAUCAAUGAAGAAAUACCCGUCAACUUCUUGCAAUUCACAAGACAUUAAGUAGAUAUUUUAUUUUUUGAAACCCGAACUUGUGUAAGUCAUUUUUUUUUUGUCUCGGUAAAAAGGGUGUAGCUAGAACUUGUGACAAUCUUGAAAGGGUAAGUACUCUCUCUUUUGUUUACGAUCAGGUGAGACUUGCAUUUUUUUAAACAGUUGUGCGGAAACAACUCCAAUUGAUUCCGUAUCAACAAUUUUAUGUAUAGAUUUUUCAUUGGAAUGCUGAACUUGCUUAUGCUAUCUCCAA